CCUACGGGAGGCAGCAGUGGGGGAUAUUGCACAAUGGGGGAAACCCUGAUGCAGCGACGCCGCGUGUGGGAAGACGGUCCUCUGGAUUGUAAACCACUGUCCCCAGGGACGAAGAUGACGGUACCUGGGGAGGAAGCUCCGGCUAACUACGUGCCAGCAGCCGCGGUAAUACGUAGGGAGCGAGCGUUGUCCGGAAUUACUGGGUGUAAAGGGAGCGUAGGCGGGACUGCAAGUUGGGUGUCAAAUCUACCGGCUCAACCGGUAGCCGCACUCAAAACUGCAGUUCUUGAGUGAAGUAGAGGCAGGCGGAAUUCCGAGUGUAGCGGUGAAAUGCGUAGAUAUUAGGAGGAACACCAGUGGCGAAGGCGGCCUGCUGGGCUUUUACUGACGCUGAGGCUCGAAAGUGUGGGGAGCGAACAGGAUUAGAUACCCUGGUAGUC
This 440-nucleotide ribosomal RNA is filed under the name uncultured bacterium. Its description in RNAcentral is "partial 16S ribosomal RNA". It matches the Rfam family "Bacterial small subunit ribosomal RNA", at positions 338 to 795 of the family's 1533-position model. The record is from RNAcentral.